GCUUUCAUAGCUCAGUUGGUUAGAGCAAUCGUUUAGUAAGCGGGAGGUCUUGAGUUCAACUCUCAAUGAAAGCA
RNAcentral lists this transfer RNA (74 nucleotides) under Jatropha curcas. It matches the Rfam family "tRNA". Rfam says of the family: Transfer RNA (tRNA) molecules are approximately 80 nucleotides in length. Their secondary structure includes four short double-helical elements and three loops (D, anti-codon, and T loops). The record is from Rfam by way of RNAcentral. Lineage: Eukaryota; Viridiplantae; Streptophyta; Magnoliopsida; Malpighiales; Euphorbiaceae.